RNAcentral lists this ribosomal RNA (649 nucleotides) under Barbodes dunckeri (bigspot barb). RNAcentral's name for it is "partial 16S ribosomal RNA". The stretch from base 243 to 649 matches the Rfam family "Bacterial large subunit ribosomal RNA", at positions 566 to 1135 of the family's 2925-position model. The record is from RNAcentral. Lineage: Eukaryota; Metazoa; Chordata; Actinopteri; Cypriniformes; Cyprinidae.
CUAGUUAAGCAUCUCACUUACACCGAGAAGACACUCAUGCAAAUUGAGUCGCCCCGAGCCAAACAGCUAGCUUGACCACUACAUAACUUAACAGUAUAAAUAUAUCAAAAUAAGCCCAACACAAAAAAUUAAAUCAUUCUUUUACCUAAGUAUGGGAGACAGAAAAGGUUAUAUAUUAAGCAAUAGAAAAAGUACCGCAAGGGAAAGCUGAAAGAGAAAUGAAACAACCCAUAUAAGCAUUAAAAAGCAAAGACUAAGCCUUGUACCUUUUGCAUCAUGAUUUAGCCAGUACACCCAAGCAAAGUGACCUUUAGUUUGAAACCCCGAAACCAGGUGAGCUACCCCGAGACAGCCUAUUAAGGGCUAACCCGUCUCUGUGGCAAAAGAGUGGGAUGAGCUCCGGGUAGAAGUGACAGACCUACCGAACCUGGUGAUAGCUGGUUGCCUAAGAAACGAAUAGAAGUUCAGCCUCAUCCGCCUCAAGCCAAAAAGCACCCAAUAAGACACCACGAGAAACACAUGAGAGUUAGUUAAAGGGGGUACAGCCCCUUUAACCAAGGAUACAACCUUUCCAGGAGGAUAAAGAUCAUAAUAUUUAAAACACAGCUGUUCUAGUGGGCCUAAAAGCAGCCAUCUAAGCAAAAAGCGU